CCUACGGGAGGCAGCAGUGAGGAAUAUUGGUCAAUGGGCGCAAGCCUGAACCAGCCAAGUCGCGUGAGGGAUGACGGUCCUAUGGAUUGUAAACCUCUUUUGUCGGGGAGCAAGGCCCGCCACGUGUGGCGGUAAGGAGAGUACCCGAAGAAAAAGCAUCGGCUAACUCCGUGCCAGCAGCCGCGGUAAUACGGAGGAUGCGAGCGUUAUCCGGAUUUAUUGGGUUUAAAGGGUGCGUAGGCGGGUUAUCAAGUCAGCGGUAAAAUCGUGGAGCUCAACUCAAUCCAGCCGUUGAAACUGAUGAUCUUGAGUGAGCGAGAAGUAUGCGGAAUGCGUGGUGUAGCGGUGAAAUGCAUAGAUAUCACGCAGAACUCCGAUUGCGAAGGCAGCAUACCGGCGCUCAACUGACGCUGAGGCACGAAAGCGUGGGGAUCGAACAGGAUUAGAUACCCUUGUAGUC
RNAcentral lists this ribosomal RNA (460 nucleotides) under uncultured bacterium. RNAcentral describes it as "partial 16S ribosomal RNA". It matches the Rfam family "Bacterial small subunit ribosomal RNA", at positions 338 to 795 of the family's 1533-position model. The record is from RNAcentral.